GCCCGUGUAGUCCAACGGCAGACGAGCAUGCGGUCCGCCCUAGGCGGACGAGACUCCGCAGUGCGGAGUCGAGAGCAGCGCAGGCCCUGGUAUGGCGGAGAUCGUGGUUCGAUUCCACGCGUGGGCACCA
Molecule: transfer RNA, 130 nt
Filed under: Planctomycetota bacterium
Lineage: Bacteria; Pseudomonadati; Planctomycetota
Description: Planctomycetes bacterium (activated sludge metagenome) tRNA-OTHER
Source: RNAcentral